ACCGUAUUCUGUGAGUUGCGAACGGGUGAGUAACGCGUAGGUAACCUGCCUGGUAGCGGGGGAUAACUAUUGGAAACGAUAGCUAAUACCGCAUAAGAACAUUUACUGCAUGGUAGAUGUUUAAAAGGUGCAAAUGCAUCACUACCAGAUGGACCUGCGUUGUAUUAGCUAGUAGGUGAGGUAACGGCUCACCUAGGCGACGAUACAUAGCCGACCUGAGAGGGUGAUCGGCCACACUGGGACUGAGACACGGCCCAGACUCCUACGGGAGGCAGCAGUAGGGAAUCUUCGGCAAUGGGGGGAACCCUGACCGAGCAACGCCGCGUGAGUGAAGAAGGUUUUCGGAUCGUAAAGCUCUGUUGUUAAGGAAGGACGAGUGUGAGAAUGGAAAGUUCAUACUGUGACGGUACUUAACCAGAAAGGGACGGCUAACUACGUGCCAGCAGCCGCGGUAAUACGUAGGUCCCGAGCGUUGUCCGGAUUUAUUGGGCGUAAAGCGAGCGCAGGCGGUUAGAUAAGUCUGAAGUUAAAGGCAGUGGCUCAACCAUUGUAGGCUUUGGAAACUGUUUAACUUGAGUGCAGAAGGGGAGAGUGGAAUUCCAUGUGUAGCGGUGAAAUGCGUAGAUAUAUGGAGGAACACCGGUGGCGAAAGCGGCUCUCUGGUCUGUAACUGACGCUGAGGCUCGAAAGCGUGGGGAGCGAACAGGAUUAGAUACCCUGGUAGUCCACGCCGUAAACGAUGAGUGCUAGGUGUUAGGUCCUUUCC
RNAcentral lists this ribosomal RNA (766 nucleotides) under uncultured Streptococcus sp. RNAcentral's name for it is "bacterial SSU rRNA". It matches the Rfam family "Bacterial small subunit ribosomal RNA", at positions 81 to 835 of the family's 1533-position model. Lineage: Bacteria; Bacillati; Bacillota; Bacilli; Lactobacillales; Streptococcaceae. The record is from RNAcentral.